RNAcentral lists this ribosomal RNA (907 nucleotides) under Mysmenidae sp. RNAcentral describes it as "SSU rRNA". It matches the Rfam family "Eukaryotic small subunit ribosomal RNA", at positions 59 to 968 of the family's 1831-position model. The record is from RNAcentral. Lineage: Eukaryota; Metazoa; Arthropoda; Arachnida; Araneae; Mysmenidae.
CUAAGUACUUGCUGAAACAAAGCGAAACCGCAAAUGGCUCAUUAUAUCAGUUAUGGUUCACAAGACUGUACCUUACUACUUGGAUAACUGUGGUAAUUCUAGAGCUAAUACAUGCAACAGAGCUCCGACCGCAAGGGACGAGCGCUUUUAUUAGACCAAAACUAAACGGACUUGUCCGUUCUAUGUGGUGACUCUGGAUAACUAUGUCUGAUCGCACGGGCUUGUCCCGGCGACGUAUCUUUCAAGUGUCUGCCUUAUCAACUGUCGAUGGUAGGUUAUGCGCCUACCAUGGUUGUAACGGGUGACGGGGGAUCAGGGUUCGAUCCCGGAGAGGGAGCCUGAGAAACGGCUACCACAUCCAAGGAAGGCAGCAGGCGCGCAAAUUACCCACUCCCGGCACGGGGAGGUAGUGACGAAAAAUAACAAUACAAGACUCUUUUGAGACCUUGUAAUUGGAAUGAGUACACUCUAAGUCCUUUAACGAGGAUCCAUUGGAAGACCAGUCUGGUGCCAGCACCUGCGGUAACUCCAGCUCCAAUAGCGUAUAUUAAAGUUGCUGCGGUUAAAAAGCUCGUAGUUGGAUCUCAGUUCCGGACGGGCGGUCUACCUACCGGUAUAACUGCCCGGUCCGAACAAUGCCGUCGGCUUCUCUUGAUGAUCUUAACCGGUUGUCUUGGGAGGGUCCGACAAGUUUACUUUGAAAAAAUUAGAGUGCUCAAAGCAUGCGUGACGCAUGAAUAAUGGUGCAUGGAAUAAUGGAAUAGGACCUCGGUUCUGUUUUGUUGGUUUUCGGAAGACGAGGUAAUGAUUAAGAGGGACAGACGGGGGCAUUCGUACUGCGGCGCUAGAGGUGAAAUUCUUGGACCGCCGCAAGACGAACUACAGCGAAAGCAUUUGCCAGAAUGUU